GGGAUCUGUGGAAUAAUGGAAAAUAAAAAAAGAGAGAAAUUGUAAAAGUAUAGCUCUGGAUAAUGGUGUCACAACACUGCACUAUUGGAGGGUCUUAUUUCUGAGGUUCACAUCUCGUUGCUUUUACCAAAUUGUGGAUGUUGUGGCUGCUGUGCAGAUUAUAAAUCUAAUGUGUGUGCUGCUGCUGGAUUUUACAUAAGCUGUCAGAUAUAGACAUUAGCUGAGCACUGCUAUUCUAAAUGGCCAUAUGGUCUAUAACAUUAUCAAAAGCUAUGCAGAACAUGUAUUUUGGUUUCCAAUGCUCCCUCUCCUUUCCUCUUCCCGCUCUUACCCUCUCUAACCCCCUUUUGUUUAAAAUCAUUCAUAUGAUGACCAUUUUACAAUUGAUGCACCUUCCAACGUUUGUAAAUUUUACACAACAUAUCUUGCCUGGACAGGACAAGACAAUAGAUGUUACUUUUCUGCUCUCUCCCACCCCCUCCCUCCUUCCCUCUUGUGUGUGCACGUGUUUAGGAUAUUUAUUAUGUUGAAACACAUAUGCAAUGUCAUGUGUGCGUCCUUUUUCUUAUUAA
This 572-nucleotide unclassified non-coding RNA is filed under the name Hevea brasiliensis (rubber tree). The record is from RNAcentral. Lineage: Eukaryota; Viridiplantae; Streptophyta; Magnoliopsida; Malpighiales; Euphorbiaceae.